UUAUUGCCCAGCAUUAGGAGCACUAAUCUGUUGCAGGUGCUCCUGGUGUUCUCCUAGACCGUGCCUGCCCUCCUUCCCAGGAGGCCCCAUUAUGUGUGUGUGGGUGUGACAGAGACAGAAGGAGUCAGAGGGAAGGAGACAGUUAUGUUUUACUUCUUGGCAUCUGCAGGUAGAUUAUACCAUCUCUACAAUCCUCUCAAAUCACCAGGAGGCUCAGGAUGUGGACACGGAGAACAUGAAGUCCAAUGGCUUCUCCUCAUCAGUCACAUCGCCUGCACAGCUGCUGCAGGACAGAUGUGUGGUCCCCAUAAAACGCCGGGAUGAAAUAUUCAAGGACACUUUUUUGGCUUGUUCGUUUAUACGGAUAUCUGAGAAAUGACUCAGAUUUCUCAGUCUUUCAAACAACACAUAGUUUUAGUGAAACUUCCUCUCCUUUCUUGGCACUAAUAACUCAUGGUGGGUAUACAGUAGGAAACCUCUCUAUCAGCAGGAAGGAUGCAACCUAUGGGGCGUAUUACAAUAAAGAAAAGAUCCGCCAGUAUGGAUUGAGCCAACGGCUUCACAGGAAGCCUGCGGUGCUUUUGGUGACGAUGAACAAAGACACACAAAGAGACCCGCUGAGAAAGUCCUGCUCUGUAGGAAGCCUGCAACGCCUGCUAUGGCCAGCUUUGCAAAGACAAAAGUAAAUGAAAUAGAGACGAAUAGAGAUGGGGAGGAAUCCAGGGGCGGAGGACGGCAACGAUACUGCAGGGAAGAGAAACACGGAGAGCGACAGAAGUUUGAAAACAUCACGUGGUUUGAUCAUGUGAACCCAGUGGUUUUAUUUUACCAAGCAAACACUUGAUUGUGUUACAGAGCAUAUUCCAGGAUUUGGCUCCGUGGAGUUCACAGGCUUCAACAUAUGGACUAGAGGAGCUGGGGAUCUGACCACUAGGCCUGCACUGACUCAGUGUCAAUGAGGCCCAGCGUACAUAUAGAGAUGGACACAUUGCUCUUCUUCAUGGACAGCUCAUGGUGAAGGACCCCAAAGAAACCGUCUAGGGCAAACUUAGAUGUGGUGUACGGAGCCAUGAAGGGAGUCGGAAUUCUACCUGUGAGCGUCAACAGCUGUUAUAGUCAUGGCAGAGGGGAAAUAUACAAAGGCUUCAUUUGUUCUUUAACUCUACCAGGGCACUCAACGCUCUCCAAGCCAUCUGAACGUAGCUGAAGAAGUUGGCCUUGAUGAAGCACACAGACAAACAGAGGUGGUCGAGCCAAUGUGGUUGAGGACCAGGUAAUCCAGACCUCCAAGCUUCUCCAGAGCAAAGUCCACCACUUUCUCAGGCUGCGCCUCAUCGGCCAUGUCUGCUGCUACGUACACAGCUUUCUGGGCUCCCAGACUC
Long non-coding RNA from Betta splendens (Siamese fighting fish), 1382 nucleotides. RefSeq lists it as uncharacterized. NCBI's taxonomy places the organism in Eukaryota, Metazoa, Chordata, Actinopteri, Anabantiformes, Osphronemidae. The transcript is spliced from 4 exons. The record is from RefSeq and is a predicted model, not a curated record.